This 320-nucleotide small RNA is filed under the name Arabidopsis thaliana (thale cress). RNAcentral describes it as "ATSL194100". Lineage: Eukaryota; Viridiplantae; Streptophyta; Magnoliopsida; Brassicales; Brassicaceae. The record is from RNAcentral.
ACGUGAAUAGUUCAUCAAAAAUUUGGUCAUUGUCCUAACGCAGACAAUCUUGUCUGAUUGAUUUUAUAGGGACUAAACAUACAAUAUCGAAAUUGAAAAAGAAUUUUUCGACACAAAUCUUUCCCAAAAUUGUAUAUGUAGAUAAUUUAUAAAUUUGUUAUCACUAUCUUCUAAGAAAUCUGUCAACCAAAAAAGUAUGAUAUAAAAAAUCUGUCGUAUUUAAAAAAUUCUACUGAAUAAGAAUAAAUCUGGUAUAACUAAAUGAUAGACUUUUGUAAAAUCGCUAGAAAUUUUUUUAAAGAAUAUUUUGUAUUUAUUUU